Molecule: long non-coding RNA, 1261 nt
Organism: Thalassophryne amazonica
Lineage: Eukaryota; Metazoa; Chordata; Actinopteri; Batrachoidiformes; Batrachoididae
Exons: 4
Source: RefSeq, a predicted model, not a curated record
UGUUAGAUUUUAUUCAUCUGGUUGGACUCCUAACGGCUGAUGAUUUGUGCUGGCAGUGCACCAACUUCCCACAUGUGCGCAACUUUCAGAUGCAGCCAGUGGACUUUCUCUUUUCUCUUUUUUCAAACUCUUUUUUGUGGCCAUUUCAGUUGAUACGCAUCUUAACACGACUGCAGUUGGAUUUGUUCAUACCAAAGGUGGAUUAGGCAUUUGUCAUCUGAUCAACGCUGCCAGCACACAGCGCAGCUGGGUGAAAGGGACUUGACCAGCUGUCUGUGUUGCGCUGUGGAACAUGAAGUACCGGAGCAGCACAACAUAACUCAGUGCACCAUGAUGUCGGUGGUUAGUUGCAGCACACAGCAGCUGGGUGAGAGGCUUUUCACCACAGGCUGUGGUUUGGAUCCUGUAAAGCGAAUGUAGUUCCAUGCUGGAGGUGCUGUUGAUCUUCAGUGAUGGUUAAACUACCUGGUGGUUCCCUGCCUGACCACACCAUGUCUGGCUCAAAGUCGCUGGAUGCCGUAAAUCACCUGAAGUGCCUUGUGGUGACUUGUGCUGUGAUUCGGUGCUAUAUAAAUGAAUUGAAUUGCAAAUAAUCCACAGUAUUCCUAAUGUAUACUAUUUUGUAUACUAUUACAUUUCAGAGUAAUCAUUCCCAACUCAGUAUGCUGUUGUUAAUGGUUCAUUAACAGUCUGACAAUUUGCAAGCCGUUUGCCGACGGAGAGUGAAAAGUUGCUUACCAUUUGCCAUCGCCAAGGUCCAUCAGAUUCCACAAGAGCCAAGUUGACAUCAGUCAGAACUGGGGAGGAAUGAAGGAUGAAGCAAGGAGGCGUGGCAGCGUGGGAGGAGGAGACAUCAAAGGCGCGGGGGGAAAUCGGAUCCCGCCUCGCGGCACAGACAAAGCAGGCUGUGGGGUUCAGGGACAAAGGAAAUGUGAUCUGCCAUGUGACCGUGAAGGCCGCGCAUGCUUUCCCCGUCUGGCUCCAUUCAGCUUUUCACUCAUUCAGCUUUAUCCGUCCUCAGUGCCAAAGCGAGCACAGAGAGAAAACGUUCUUAUACUUAGAGAAAUUUGUUUUCUGUGUAAUUCCCUGUUUUAUGAUGUCAGGAUGUCAAGUUAUGUCGUUUGUUUGGGUUUGGUUUGUGAUUUGAACAUUUUUAUUACGUGAGACCAAAAUAUGACCAUCGGGUAUUGCGAAGGCUUUUCGUCUGUCCGUCUGUCUGUCCGUCUGUCUGUGCUCAGCAUAAAUCUGGUCCUAUUACUGU